Molecule: long non-coding RNA, 1797 nt
Organism: Nylanderia fulva
Lineage: Eukaryota; Metazoa; Arthropoda; Insecta; Hymenoptera; Formicidae
Source: RefSeq, a predicted model, not a curated record
CAGUCCAUUCUUAUACCUCAGUACCACCACGAUAGGACUCUCGCUACCGGUGACGACCAUCAGACCCUUCCAUAUCAUCAGGGCGGACGAGACUAUCAUCCCAAAGCUCAGUACUUGAUACAGAAACUAAAAAUUAAAGAGCAUUGAUAUAUAGCCACCAUAUGCGAGCUCCGGACGAGCGCGGUAACGAAGGUGUCGUCGAAGGAAAAAACUUACCUGGCGUUUAUUCAUACGCCGCACAUCGUCGAAUAUCGAUUGCAACAUGAUGACGAGAGGGAUUUCCGGGGGCUCGACGACGACAGAAGAGAGUAUUUCUCCAGUUUCGUUGAUUCGAACACAACCGGCAACCAAGUCGUCUAUCGCAGAUUACAUGUAAAUGUGUCUACCAUUGGCACCAAGUUUCGCUGUCGCCGCUAUUACCACGUCACGUAAACAAUGAACGGAGGGAACUGGAACAGAGAAUCGAUAGAAUCCGCGGAACGGCCGGAGUGGAUCAAACUUUGGGUCAUAGAAAACGAAACGUGGACAUAGAGGAGCCUAGUCGACCAGAAAUUUGACAAAUCACUGGCCUAGGGUUUUUUAGUUCGACCAAUCAGGGACAAUUAUGACGUCACGAUUAAAUGUCACUUCUAGGUGCUCGUAUGUACCAAAUCACAAGUGGAAAAACAUUUGUUUAUAAAUGUUUACAAAUGGCUGCGAUAUAUAUAUAUAUAUAUAUAUAUAUAUAUAUAUAUAUAUAUAUAUAUUGCGGUGACAGGUGACGGCGUCUCGUAAGUUGAUUUGACAGCUGAUUGACGUAUGGCUUUUCGGACAACGUGACGAUUCUCUGGGUCCGCGGGAUCGAGGCCGAUGAGACGCGGAAUUUUGCCCAAGCCCAAGCUCUGGAUAUGUUUCGCAGCAAAAGCACUCACAUGUGCACCAAGACUAUGACCGAUAAACGUGAUGUUAUCCAACAAGAUGUUGCACUUCUUGACCAGAGAUUCUACGUAUCUGAAGAAAAAAAUUCGCACAUGAAUCAAGGACAUCGUGUCUUCUUCAUUUUACAAAACAGUAUAAUAUUCACCUGUACAAAUCGCUUGGCCAAAUUAUAACCGCUAGUUGUAUUUGCAUAGCUAAUAAAACCAUGGACCAAAAAAACAAUGGGCUUCAAAGGAUCAAAAUUACAGCUUUCUUGUGCGCCGAUAUCUUCGCCUUCAAGAUUAACACUGGAAGAGAAAUAUGGAAAUAUAUAAACAGCGUGCGGAGAAAUGAAUUAACGGGACACUUAUUGCGCUUUACCUGUUGUAUAAAAUGAUCGACAUGUAUUUAGGGCCGAAGAUACAGGAAUCGUUGAAUACAUUGUUGAUAGAGAUAUCGUUAAAAGAAAACAAGUCUGAAGGAUAUAAAUACACGCAUCGUAUGAAGAAAGUUACAAAUAUCGCAGCAACGAUUCUCAUUAUGAUAGGAGAAAAGGUAUUGCUGAAUUUUAAAAAGAAACUGAAUCAAGUAAUGGAUUUCGCGGUAUUUUAUAGCAAAGUUACUUUCAUAUAUACAUAUAUAUAUAUAUAUAUUCAUAUAUACAUAUAUAUAUAUAUAUAUAUAUCAAUUUUACAAAAAUAUUGACACUCGCAACAUUAUUGGCAACUGUGUAAACUGUUUGGCGAGUGCAGAAACUUCUAUGAAAGUGUGUUUUACAAUACUGGAAUAUAGAAUGUCAAAUAAUCAAUAAAUAUUGCCAUCGCGUAUAUAUUUCUUCUCUUUGUAAUUCGCUUUUAUUUUUGACAUUAUCCGGCAAUAAAAAUGACGUAGUGCCGCAAA